GCGCCGGUAGUCUAGUCUGGUAGGACACAGGCUUGCCAAGCCUGUAACCCGGGUUCAAAUCCCGGCCGGCGCA
Molecule: transfer RNA, 73 nt
Filed under: Candidatus Aenigmatarchaeota archaeon
Lineage: Archaea; Nanobdellati; Candidatus Aenigmatarchaeota
Description: tRNA-Gly
Rfam family: tRNA
About the family: Transfer RNA (tRNA) molecules are approximately 80 nucleotides in length. Their secondary structure includes four short double-helical elements and three loops (D, anti-codon, and T loops). Further hydrogen bonds mediate the characteristic L-shaped molecular structure. tRNAs have two regions of fundamental functional importance: the anti-codon, which is responsible for specific mRNA codon recognition, and the 3' end, to which the tRNAs corresponding amino acid is attached (by aminoacyl-tRNA synthetases). tRNAs cope with the degeneracy of the genetic code in two manners: having more than one tRNA (with a specific anti-codon) for a particular amino acid; and 'wobble' base-pairing, i.e. permitting non-standard base-pairing at the 3rd anti-codon position.
Source: RNAcentral